This 1472-nucleotide ribosomal RNA is filed under the name uncultured Bordetella sp. RNAcentral's name for it is "partial 16S-23S ribosomal RNA intergenic spacer". It matches the Rfam family "Bacterial small subunit ribosomal RNA". The record is from RNAcentral. Lineage: Bacteria; Pseudomonadati; Pseudomonadota; Betaproteobacteria; Burkholderiales; Alcaligenaceae.
GGUUCGAUCCUGGCUCAGAUUGAACGCUGGCGGGAUGCUUUACACAUGCAAGUCGAACGGCAGCACGGACUUCGGUCUGGUGGCGAGUGGCGAACGGGUGAGUAAUGUAUCGGAACGUGCCUAGUAGCGGGGAUAACUACGCGAAAGCGGUAGCUAUCACCGCAUACGUCAAUUCUUCAAAGCGGGGACCUUUCGGGCCUGCAGUAAUUAUUAGAGCGGCCGAUAUCGGAUGAAGCAGUUGGUGGGGUAACGGCUCACCAAGGCGACGAUCCGUAGCUGGUUUGAGAGGACGACCAGCCACACUGGGACUGAGACACGGCCCAGACUUACGGGAGGCAGCAGUGGGGAAUUUGACAAUGGGGGAAACUCCUGGGAUCCAGCCAUCCCGCGUGUGCGAUGAAGCGCCUUCUGCCAAAAAGCACUUUUGGCAGGAAAGCAAACGGCACGGAUAAUACCCCGUGCAACUGACGGUACCUGCAGAAUAAGCACCACAACUACGCCAGUACGCGGUAAUACGUAGGGUGUAAGCGUUAAUCGGAAUUACUGGGCGUAAAGCGUGCGCAGGCGGUUCGGAAAGAAAGAUGUGAAAUCCCAGAGCUUAACUUUUGAACUGCAUUUUUAACUACCGAGCUAGAGUGUGUCAGAGGGAGGUGGAAUUCCGCGUGUAGCAGUGAAAUGCGUAGAUAUGCGGAGGAACACCGAUGGCGAAGGCAGCCUCCUGGGAUAACACUGACGCUCAUGCACGAAAGCGUGGGGAGCAAACAGGAUUAGAUACCCUGGUAGUCCACGCCCUAAACGAUGUCAACUAGCUGUUGGGGCCUUCGGGCCCCGGUAGCGCAGCUAACGCGUAGUUCCCGCCCGGGGAGUACGGUCGCAAGAUUAAAACUCAAAGGAAUUGACGGGGACUGCACAGGCGGUAGAUGAUGCGGAUUAAUUCGAUGCAACGCGAAAACCUUACCUACCCUUGACAUGUCUGGAAUCCCGAAGAGAUUUGGGAGUGCUCGCAAGAGAACCGGAACACAGGUGCUGCAUGGCUGUCGUCAGCUCGUGUCGUGAUGUUGGGUUAAGUCCUGCAACGAGCGCAACCUCGUCAUUAGUUGCUACGAAAGGCACUUCCACCAGGACUGCUGGUGACAAACCGGAGGAAGGUGGGGAUGACGUCAAGUCCUCAUGGCCCUUAUGGGUAGGGCUUCACACGCCAUACAAUGGUCGGGACAGAGGGCUGCCAACCCGGCGAGGGGAGCCAAUCCCAGAAACCCGAUCAGAACCGAUCGUAGUCUGCAACUCGACUGCGUGAAGUCGGAAUCGCUAGUAAUCGCGGAUCAGCAUGUCGCGGUGAAUACGUUCCCGGGUCUUGUACACACCGCCCGUCACACCAUGGGGAGGGUUUUACCAGAAGUAGUUAGCCUAACCGUAAGGAGGGCGAUUACCACGGUAGGAUUCAUGACUGGGGUGAAGUCGUAACAAGGUAG